This 390-nucleotide ribosomal RNA is filed under the name Triticum aestivum (bread wheat). Its description in RNAcentral is "partial small subunit ribosomal RNA". The record is from RNAcentral. Lineage: Eukaryota; Viridiplantae; Streptophyta; Magnoliopsida; Poales; Poaceae.
AUGUUAGGCCGUGUCGUCGACGCCUUGGGAGUACCUAUUGAUGGAAAAGGGGCUCUAAGUGAUCACGAACGAAGACGUGUCGAAGUGAAAGCCCCAGGGAUUAUUGAACGUAAAUCUGUGCACGAACCCAUGCAAACAGGCUUAAAAGCAGUGGAUAGCCUGGUUCCUAUAGGCCGUGGUCAACGAGAACUUAUAAUCGAGGAUAGACAAACUGGAAAAACUGCAAUAGCUACCGAUACUAUAUUAUACCAAAAGCAAAUGAACUCAAGGGGCACAAAUGAGAGUGAGACAUUGUAUUGUGUCUAUGUUGCGAUUUCAAGGAUGCCGGAUUGCACCAUUCAUAAGAGAAACCCUUGGCAUCUCAUGGAAAACCCUUUUCGUUCCGCUUAG